GUGUCAGCCGCCGCGGUAAUACGGAGGAUGCAAGCGUUAUCCGGAUUUAUUGGGUUUAAAGGGUACGUAGGCGGAGAAUUAAGUCAGUGGUGAAAUCCUGCAGCUUAACUGUGGAACUGUCAUUGAUACUGGUUUUCUUGAAUGUAGUUGAGGUAGGCGGAAUGUGUAAUGUAGCGGUGAAAUGCUUAGAUAUUACACAGAACACCGAUUGCGAAGGCAGCUUACCAAGCUAUGAUUGACGCUGAGGUACGAAAGCGUGGGGAGCGAACAGGAUUAGAAACCCCUGUAGUCC
Molecule: ribosomal RNA, 292 nt
Filed under: uncultured bacterium
Lineage: Bacteria
Description: partial 16S ribosomal RNA
Rfam family: Bacterial small subunit ribosomal RNA
Source: RNAcentral